CAACGCGGUCCAGCACGCCUCAGGCCCCAGUUCGCGAUCGCAGGUGCGUCUACCAACUGGUCGGCGGCGACAUGAGGUUUUCGCCGGUGGCGAGUGCGCUAGUGGUGCUGAUGGUCGGUGGCUGGGUGGAGCCGCACCGCUCCAAGCGGGUCGUCUACCUGGAUACGGCCAGCCCCAUAGACGUAGCGCUGCAGAUCACGGUGCCUUUCGGCGUGGCGCUCCCCUCUGUGCGGAAGAAGCAGGGCUCGGAGGAGGCGGACAAGGCGGG
This is a long non-coding RNA of Schistocerca nitens (vagrant locust), 268 nucleotides long. RefSeq lists it as uncharacterized. The transcript is spliced from 3 exons. Lineage: Eukaryota; Metazoa; Arthropoda; Insecta; Orthoptera; Acrididae. The record is from RefSeq and is a predicted model, not a curated record.